GUAGGUGGCAAGCGUUGUCCGGAAUUAUUGGCGUAAAGCGCGCGCAGGCGGUUCUUUAAGUCUGAUGUGAAAGCCCACGGCUCAACCGUGGAGGGUCAUUGGAAACUGGAGAACUUGAGUACAGAAGAGGAAAGCGGAAUUCCACGUGUAGCGGUGAAAUGCGUAGAGAUGUGGAGGAACACCAGUGGCGAAGGCGGCUUUCUGGUCUGUAACUGACGCUGAGGCGCGAAAGCGUGGGGAGCAAACAGGGAUUAGAUACCCUGGUAGUCCACGCCGUAAACGAUGAGUGCUAAGUGUUAGGGGGUUUCCGCCCCCUUAGUGCUGCAGCUAACGCAUUAAGCACUCCGCCUGGGGAGUACGGCCGCAAGGCUG
Molecule: ribosomal RNA, 372 nt
Filed under: uncultured organism
Description: partial 16S ribosomal RNA
Rfam family: Bacterial small subunit ribosomal RNA
Source: RNAcentral